GAUGAACGCUGACAGAAUGCUUAACACAUGCAAGUCGAUGGGGAAGUGGUGCUUGCACCAUGGUAACCAUGGCGGACGGGUGAGUAACGCGUAAGGAACUUACCUGCGGGACCGGGAUAACAGCAGGAAACUGCUGACAAGACCGGAUAAGGUCAUUAAGCUGCAUAGCUUAGUGAUGAAAGGAGACGCCUGCGGAGAGCCUUGCGUCCUAUUAGCUAGUUGGAGGGGUAACGGCCCACCAAGGCGAAGAUAGGUAGCCGGCCUGAGAGGGUGGACGGCCACAAGGGGACUGAGAUGCGGCCCUUACUCCUACGGGAGGCAGCAGUGGGGAAUAUUGGACAAUGGGGGCAACCCUGAUCCAGCAAUUCUGUGUGCACGAAGACGGUUUUCGGAUUGUAAAGUGCUUUCAGCAGGGAAGAAGGAAGUGACGGUACCUGCAGAAGAAGCGACGGCUAAAUACGUG
Molecule: ribosomal RNA, 463 nt
Filed under: uncultured bacterium
Lineage: Bacteria
Description: partial 16S ribosomal RNA
Rfam family: Bacterial small subunit ribosomal RNA
Source: RNAcentral